Picea glauca (white spruce) is the source of this 109-nucleotide non-coding RNA. The record is from Rfam. Lineage: Eukaryota; Viridiplantae; Streptophyta; Pinopsida; Pinales; Pinaceae.
UACAACAUAGCGUUAAUGUAGAAGAUCCCAUUAGAACUCUACAAUUUAGCGUGCUCAAGCUAGAGUAGUACUGGGAUGGGUGACCGCACGAGAAGUCCCAUUGUUUUAC